This is a non-coding RNA of Punica granatum (pomegranate), 2061 nucleotides long. The record is from RefSeq and is a predicted model, not a curated record. NCBI's taxonomy places the organism in Eukaryota, Viridiplantae, Streptophyta, Magnoliopsida, Myrtales, Lythraceae.
AACAGGAUUAACAGAGCAAGGUCCUUCAUUAAUUAAUCUUUGAUAUGUGGGACAUUGCAGAUCAAGUUGGCUUGGCCGGCUUGGUGUGGGUCUCGUUCAGGACAGAUUACGUUAUGCAAAGAUAGAAUCCGAAUUUGCUGAACUCUCGAUGCCAUCCAGAUGUGCAUCUAGCUGCUCAAUCAUCCUUCCCCUCGAAAGGGGACAACCGUUCCGAGUUGUCAGCAGAAUAACCACGAAUUCAUGUUCAGAAGCUUCAAAGGUACUUCGACGGCAGCACCUGUUUGUCGCUCAUUCUUCCAUGUCGAUGGAUCUGCUUCUGAAGACACCAGCUGAGAUGCUGAAGCAGCUUUAUCUUAUUGGAGGCUGAGCUGAGCUGCUGUGGAGCUGAAUCCCUCUGUUUGUAUGCUCAGGCUAGCGUGAAGACAUGCCGCCUGAUUGUCGUCAAUUCAAAGGACCAGCCACUUAUGAACUCCGGCAAUUGAAUUUUUAUAGCAUAGAGAAAAUGGAGACUCUCCCGUGGUGGAUUCGGCACCUCUCUAACUUGAAAGAGGGCUCUUUUUACUGCAGAAAUCUGAUGGCUUUGCCCGAGUGAUUUCCCAAUCUCACCUCACCCCAAAGUCUUACAGUUUUUGGUGGCAGGAAGGAGCUAUCAAGUAGGCGCCCGGAGAAUACCGGAGAGGACAGGCCUAAGAUUUCCCACAUCCAGUUUGUGGAUGUAUCUGGAGAGUGAAGUAAUUCCUCCCUCACUCACUGCCUCCAAAGAUGAUAUAUAUGAAGGGCCUUCACUCCAACCUAUUUACAGUAUUUAGCUCAAGCUCUUAAAUUGCUGAGUGAUCUUGACAGUUGAGGUUCAGUUUUGUCAAGAGUGGACAGUUUAAGUGUCUCAUUUACUCGGAUCAAUGAAGCUAGUUCUUAUCCCACUCCAGUCCAGUUGCCUCAAAUUUAAAACAGGGCAUACAUUACUUCCUGUAAGCUGUUGAGAUCAAAUUAUCCCAAGCUCACAAAUUCAUCUUCCCAAGUCGAGUUUCUGGAAGAGGGACAGGUGAAUUGCUGAUUUUGUUGGACCAGUUUCCGAACUGCAGAAUAUGUGAAGACGGUUGGAUAAAUUUUAUCUUAAAACAUCACCAUUUACAUUCCAGGAUUGAAAGGCUUUGUCACUUUUUCGGUGGCCGAAUGUAUGGAGAGAUGUUCUCAGGGACAAAAUAGUCCAGUUUGAAGGCAAGGCAUCAGCGCACCCAACCCAUCAGUCCACUCCUAACUACACACCCACCAUGCCUUCAUAUCACAACAUUACUAUGUCAAUUUUCAUCCUAUAUACACUAUGAUGUAGUCAUAAUUAAUGGAUAUUGGUCUUGCAGGCAAUGAUAUGAACGGAAGCUCAAUUAAAACACGACUGACGCUGCAUAGAGCCUGCAUUACGGGAUGGUUGAUAGAGACUUGAACAGAGAAUUGUCCUUCAUUAAUUAAUCCCGGAUAUGUGUCAUGUUGAAGAUCAAACUGGCUUGGCUGGGUCAGUGUAAGCCUCGUUCAGAUGUGCCUCUAGCAGUUCAAUCAUCCUUCCCCUCAAAAGGAGACAACCAUUCCGAGUUGUCAGCAAAAGAACCUGGAAUUCAUGUUCAGAUGCUUCAAAGGUGGGGAAUUUCCGAUGACGAACAUCAGCCAAUGCUUGUUUUUUACGGAGAGUUUUGAUAAUUCACGUACAUCUUUGGUAGUUACUCCGACGGCAGCACUUGUAUGGCUUCUGGUGUCUCCACUUUCAGUUGUUUGUCGCUCAUUGUUCCUUGUCAAUGGAUCUGGUUCUGAGGGCACCAGCUGAGAUGCCGAAACAGCUUUAUCUCAGUGGAGGCUGAGCUGCUGUGGAGCUGAUGGCUCUGUUUGCAUGGAGGGAAAUAAUAAGGUUCUCAGCUUCAGGAUUUCGGAUCUAGCUCGAGUCACGGUCUAGAGAGGAUUCUGUAUCGUGGUCACUGUGAUCCAAGAGAACAUGGUAUCUAGCCUCUGGCCUUUUUCUCCACUUUGUUUAUAACGUAAAUGAUGGAGAACGAAAAAUGCUGUUUGUUAACA